GUGGAUCUCGGUUGGCCUCCUCCAGAUCCUCCACCCUCCAUCAUCCCAUCGAUGGUCGCCGCCACUGCACCGAGAAAAGGGCUGCCAGCCGCCGCAACCUCACCAUCCACGACCAUCUCCCCUGUGCAUCACGCAGUGACCAUCUUCCGUCGCGACCUUAGACUCGUCUCGUAGGCAGGAACGCCACUGAAGGCGGACCUACUGCACACGACGCUGGUGCCGUUGAUAUGGAUGGUGUCCAUCUUGCUGGAAGGAGUUACCAGGUCCCUCGUGGGCGCGGAGAAGCUGGAUCGGCCGGGCACAUGACUACUAGCGUGCUCGAGGUCCCGCUUGAGCCUCCACCACGGGACGCAUUCAGCAAGCUGUGAGCCGCAUCGAACCAGUGGGAUCCUCGGCAUUCAGCAAGCUGCGAGCCGCUUGUCCCACCAGGUGUUCUAGACACGCAUGUAAUACAGGUUCCAUGGAGUCUUCAUCGGUGGAGAUAGAGUCCCAUUCAAUAGCAUGGUUCGAGGCAAGAUGCUUGCGAAACUCCAGUUGACGUACAUAUCUGUGGCCACAAAGGCAGGGGGAUUUACCCUAGUUGAUGUCCAGCGAGCGCCGCCGACGCUUGAGGAGCCUGAGAGUAUCUUACUUUUCUACAGGAGAUGAUUGUAAUUCUAAGUUUUUAGGGAUCUUUUUGCUCUGUGUAUUUCUCGGUUUGUGUAUGUAACUUCCAUUUUAUUUAAUGAAAUGAACAUAUAUUUUUUCUGACAAAA
Hordeum vulgare subsp. vulgare (domesticated barley) is the source of this 755-nucleotide long non-coding RNA. RefSeq lists it as uncharacterized. The transcript has 2 exons. Lineage: Eukaryota; Viridiplantae; Streptophyta; Magnoliopsida; Poales; Poaceae. The record is from RefSeq and is a predicted model, not a curated record.